Molecule: ribosomal RNA, 1815 nt
Filed under: human gut metagenome
Description: bacterial LSU rRNA
Rfam family: Bacterial large subunit ribosomal RNA
Source: RNAcentral
CAUAGGUACAGGAGGGGAACCGCCUGAACUGAAACAUCUAAGUAGGGCGAGGAAGAGACAUCAAACGAGAUUCCGUUAGUAGUGGCGAGCGAACGCGGAAGAGGGCAAACCGGAAGGAGAAAUCCUUCCGGGGUAUGGACCGCUUUUAGGACUUUAGCUGUUAAUCGAAUGGCAUGGGAAGGCCAACCAAAGAGUGUGAGAGUCACGUAGAUGAAAACGGCGAGAGCUGCGCGAGUUCCAGAGUACGGCCAGACACGUGAAACCUGGUCGGAAGAUGGGGGGACCACCCUCCAACCCUAAAUACUACCCAGUGACCGAUAGCGUAUAGUACUGUGAAGGAAAGGUGAAAAGGACCCCGGGAGGGGAGUGAAAUAGAACCUGAAACCUUGUGCCUACAAGCACAUAGAGCACAUCAACGUGUGAUAUGGUACUUUUUGUAGAACGGUCCGGCGAGCGAUUGUAUGUUGCGAGCUUAAGGUCUUAAGGACUGGAGGCGCAGCGAGAGCGAGUCUGAAGAGGGCGUUCAGUAACAUGCAAUGGGCCCGAAACCGGGUGACCUACCCAUGAUCAGGCUGAAGUGAAAGUAAAAUUUCAUGGAGGGCCGAACCGACCUCCGUUGAAAAGGCGGCGGAUGAAUUGUGGGUAGCGGAGAAAUUCCAAUCGAACUCGGAGAUAGCUGGUUCUCCCCGAAAUAGCUUUAGGGCUAGCCUCAUAUUAGAUACCCGGAGGUAAAGCACUGAAUGGCCUAGCGCCCGAGAGGGUAGCGAAGCCUAUCAAACUAAGAAUGCCGGAGUAUUGAUGUAUGGGAGUCAGACAGUGUGAGAUAAAUCUCAUUGUCAAAAGGGAAACAGCCCAGAUCUACAGCUAAGGUCCCAAAUUGUAUCUAAGUGGAAAACGAUGUGGAAAUACGCAGACAACCAGGAUGUUGGCUCAGAAGCAGCCACUCAUUUAAAGAGUGCGUAAUAGCUCACUGGUCGAGCGUCUCUGCGCGGAAAAUUUAACGGGGCUAAGAUACAAACCGAAGCUUAGGCUGCACGUAAGUGCGGGGUAGGGGAGCGUUGUGUAAGCGGAGAAACAGUAGCGUAAGCGGCUGUGGAGUUUACAGAAGUGAGAAUGCCGGAAUGAGUAGCGCGAAUGUGGUGAGAAUCCACAUGGCCGGAAACCUCAGGUUUUUGGAGGAAGGUUCGUCCGCUCCAAGUUAGGCGGGAGCUAAGGUCAGGCCGAAAGGCGUAGCCGAUGCACAGACGGUAGAGAUUCCGUCCCCACCGAAAGAUUUAAGCACAGGGACACUUUUUGAAGGUCGGAGCCAGGUGUUGGUUCUGGUAGUGAUCGAGGGAAAUAUAGUACCGAAGUCCGGCUGGAAGAGAGGCGAGAAAAGCUGUGUGUAUAUCUAAGGUGCCCGUACCGCAAACCGACACAGGUAGGUAGGAAGAAGAUUCUAAGGCCAACGGGAGAAGGGUUGUUAAGGAACUCGGCAAGUUGACCCCGUAACUUCGGAAUAAGGGGUGCUCACGAGAGUGAGCCGCAGAGAAUAGGCCCAGGCAACUGUUUACCAAAAACACAGGUUUGUGCUAAAUCGAAAGAUGACGUAUACGAGCUGACGCCUGCCCGGUGCUGGAAGGUUAAAAGGAGAUGUGCAAGCAUUGAAUUGAAGCCCCAGUGAACGGCGGCCGUAACUAUAACGGUCCUAAGGUAGCGAAAUUCCUUGUCAGGUAAGUUCUGACCCGCAUGAAAGGCGUAAUGAUCUGGGCACUGUCUCAACAGCCCGCCCGGCGAAAUUGUAGUACCGGUGAAGAUGCCGGUUACCCGCGACAA